RNAcentral lists this transfer RNA (88 nucleotides) under Patescibacteria group bacterium. Its description in RNAcentral is "tRNA-Ser". It matches the Rfam family "tRNA". From Rfam's summary of the family: Transfer RNA (tRNA) molecules are approximately 80 nucleotides in length. The record is from RNAcentral.
GGAGAGGUCGCAUAGCGGCCGAGUGCGCUCGCUUGGAAAGCGAGUGGCCCGCAAGGGCUCGCGAGUUCGAAUCUCGCCCUCUCCGCCA